CGCUUGCAUUCCCACCAACGCUGUUGUUAUUUGUUGUCUCAGCGCCUAGUCCGAGUCAGACAAGCAUCCAGCCUGCACUGCGUAGCUAGCUUAAGACUGCUGUAACUCGGAACGCCUGACCGGUGACCGCCGUGUGUAGUCAACACCCAACAGAGGGUGGCUGCUUUUCAAGUAUACUGUGCUUCCUAUCUCAAUGUUUGAGAUAUCCUAUCAUGUUCAUCAGAGACUGCUUGAUUAGUUUAUAUUGAACAUUGAAGCUAAUCCCAGUCAGAGUGAGUGAUUGCUUCUACAAUGUCACGAACUAUAGGCUCGUUCAAAGGGUGCACAUACAGUGCAAGAAUCAAAGGGCUAAAGAUGCUUCAAUUUUCCAAAACUUGGAAAUUUGGAUCCAGCAUACAGAUGAGAAUGAUGCUGAAAAAUGUCCUUAUGACGUGGACUUGAGAUCAAUGGAGAACAAUUCGGAGAUUCGGCCUUCUAUCUGCGGCACAUGUGGCCACAACAAUGCUAAAGAACACUUCUGAUUUGGAGCAUUCUUGGAUAUGAGUUGCUUGACAGCCAACAAAUGAGCAGAGUCGACUCCAGCCAGCAACAACCAUGAGAUGUUGCCAUUGGCCAUGCAACAACCCAAACAACGCAUGACCAACUUCACCCGGCGUGAAGUGGAAGCUCUGCUGGCAGCUGUUGACAAUAGAUGUGAAAUCGUUCUGUCAACCUCUGGCGGUCAGGAGUGGGCCAAGACCUGGCAAGAGAUCGCCCAAGAAGUCACUGCCAUCAAGAGCAUUCGCAGAACAGAGCAUGAAGUUAGAAGGAAGUGGACCUACUUGAAAUGGAAGGCAAACGAUACCAGAAAGCCCCUCGGUUGAAACCCCACAUCCAAGUCUGUUCUGGGAAUACCCAAUGGUGGUGGUCCAGAUGCCUCCACUACCAUUAAAGCUGAGCCACUUCUGCACUGGACCCUGAAGAAGAAAGCGAUAUUGAGAUGCCUACUGGAAAUGAGCCGGUUCCCACAGAAGAUUGUUCAAAGGUAGGAGGUGAUUUCCACAAAUAAGAACUGCUUCUGAAGCCCAGCAGCUCACAGCAAGGUUUACAACUCAGCGGUUGCAAAUGAUACAGCAUAAAUGGAAAGAAGAAGGUGAUGUUAAUCCAGAUAUUCUUGUCCAUACUGGCGAUUCAGGACCAAAAACAGGUAUAAUAGGAUUAGACAAUCAAAGCAAGGCACAUGAAUUCUUUCAUUUUUUCAUCAACAAAGACCUUGUGUCUCGUUAAAAGGAACAAAAAACUUGUAUGCAAAGCAGUAAUUCAGAAAAAGAGGCAACUCAAUUUAAUGAAUCCUAAUAGUCAGUUAGCCACUUGGGAACCUGUUACCAAUGCUGAAAUGUACAAAUUUAUUGGAAUAGUGUUGCAAAUGAGUAUUAGUGAGAGGCCUUCAAUGUUGGAUCACCGUUGUACAAAUGCU
Long non-coding RNA from Nilaparvata lugens (brown planthopper), 1456 nucleotides. RefSeq lists it as uncharacterized. The record is from RefSeq and is a predicted model, not a curated record. Lineage: Eukaryota; Metazoa; Arthropoda; Insecta; Hemiptera; Delphacidae. The transcript is spliced from 5 exons.